RNAcentral lists this ribosomal RNA (562 nucleotides) under Staphylococcus aureus. Its description in RNAcentral is "partial 23S ribosomal RNA". It matches the Rfam family "Bacterial large subunit ribosomal RNA", at positions 835 to 1401 of the family's 2925-position model. Lineage: Bacteria; Bacillati; Bacillota; Bacilli; Caryophanales; Staphylococcaceae. The record is from RNAcentral.
GAACCUGGAGAUAGCUGGUUCUCUCCGAAAUAGCUUUAGGGCUAGCCUCAAGUGAUGAUUAUUGGAGGUAGAGCACUGUUUGGACGAGGGGCCCCUCUCGGGUUACCGAAUUCAGACAAACUCCGAAUGCCAAUUAAUUUAACUUGGGAGUCAGAACAUGGGUGAUAAGGUCCGUGUUCGAAAGGGAAACAGCCCAGACCACCAGCUAAGGUCCCAAAAUAUAUGUUAAGUGGAAAAGGAUGUGGCGUUGCCCAGACAACUAGGAUGUUGGCUUAGAAGCAGCCAUCAUUUAAAGAGUGCGUAAUAGCUCACUAGUCGAGUGACACUGCGCCGAAAAUGUACCGGGGCUAAACAUAUUACCGAAGCUGUGGAUUGUCCUUUGGACAAUGGUAGGAGAGCGUUCUAAGGGCGUUGAAGCAUGAUCGUAAGGACAUGUGGAGCGCUUAGAAGUGAGAAUGCCGGUGUGAGUAGCGAAAGACGGGUGAGAAUCCCGUCCACCGAUUGACUAAGGUUUCCAGAGGAAGGCUCGUCCGCUCUGGGUUAGUCGGGUCCUAAGCUGAGG